GCUAACACUGUAGGAUGGGCCCGCGGCGCAUUAGCUAGUUGGUAAGGUAACGGCUUACCAAGGCCACGAUGCGUAGCCGACCUGAGAGGGUGAUCGGCCACACUGGGACUGAGACACGGCCCAGACUCCUACGGGAGGCAGCAGUAGGGAAUCUUCCGCAAUGGACGAAAGUCUGACGGAGCAACGCCGCGUGAGUGACGAAGGCCUUCGGGUCGUAAAGCUCUGUUGUUAGGGAAGAACAAGUACCGUUCGAAUAGGGCGGUACCUG
This 268-nucleotide ribosomal RNA is filed under the name Bacillus sp. (in: firmicutes). RNAcentral describes it as "Bacillus sp. (in: Bacteria) partial 16S ribosomal RNA". It matches the Rfam family "Bacterial small subunit ribosomal RNA", at positions 211 to 481 of the family's 1533-position model. Lineage: Bacteria; Bacillati; Bacillota; Bacilli; Caryophanales; Bacillaceae. The record is from RNAcentral.